GUACCUGUAGCGCAAUGGAUGCGGCGUUGGACUUCUAUUCCAAAGAGCGUGCCUUCGAAUCUCACCUGGGAUG
Non-coding RNA from Trichonephila clavipes, 73 nucleotides. Lineage: Eukaryota; Metazoa; Arthropoda; Arachnida; Araneae; Nephilidae. The record is from the annotation of a GenBank genome assembly.